This 898-nucleotide ribosomal RNA is filed under the name Microsporidium sp. Its description in RNAcentral is "SSU rRNA". It matches the Rfam family "Microsporidia small subunit ribosomal RNA", at positions 142 to 1045 of the family's 1311-position model. The record is from RNAcentral. Lineage: Eukaryota; Fungi; Microsporidia.
UUUUAUUGGUGCUACAGAGUAAGGAGCCAUCCCAUCAGUUAGUAAGUAAGGUAAGGGCCUACUUAGACUCAGACGGGUACGGGGAAUUAGGGUUUGAUUCCGGAGAGGGAGCAUGAGAGAUGGCUACCAGGUCCAAGGACAGCAGCAGGCGCGAAAAUUACCGAAGCCUUUUGGAGGGCGGUAGUAAGGAGACGUGAAUACGAUUUGUCGGUAAAAAAGACAAUGGAUACACGAGGACAAGACUGGUGCCAGCACCCGCGGUAAUACCAGCUCGUGGAGUGUCUAUGAUGAUUGCUGCAGUUAAAGCGUUCGUAGUCAGGUUUGUGGAGCGUUAGUACAGGCUGUGUAUUGAGCAGAGCGGUUUAUCGCGACCAACCGGAGUUAGGAGCGUCUAGGGCACAGGGUAUUAAGCGACGAGAGGUGAAAUUUGAUGACUCGCUUAGGAGCGACAGAGGCGAAAGCGCUGUGCAGGGGCGAGUCCGAUGAUAAAGGACGUAGGCUAGAGGAUCGAAGACGAUUAGAGACCGUUGUAGUUCUAGCAGUAAACGAUGCCGAUGCCGUGGUGUAGAGAUGCAACGCGGAAGAGAAAUCUAGUAGGGCCCUGGGGAGAGUACACGCGCAAGCGAGAAAUUUAAAGGAAAUUGACGGAAGAACACCACAAGGAGUGGAGUGUGCGGCUUAAUUUGACUCAACGCGGGACAGCUUACCAGACGCGACGACAGAAUGAGUGUAGUACACGAUAUGUCGGAGAGUGGUGCAUGGCCGUUAACGACGAGUGAGGUGACUUUUGGGUUAAGUCCGAGAAGUGGUGAGACCCCUGCUGUUAUGGACAGGUGCUCAAAGCACAGGAAGGAAGGGUCAAGAACAGGUCAGUGAUGCCCUUAGAUGGUCUGGGCUG